Molecule: long non-coding RNA, 598 nt
Organism: Papaver somniferum (opium poppy)
Lineage: Eukaryota; Viridiplantae; Streptophyta; Magnoliopsida; Ranunculales; Papaveraceae
Exons: 5
Source: RefSeq, a predicted model, not a curated record
AUUGAAGAUUCGAACACGAAUUUCUGAAGAUUUGUCACCAUGGGUGCCUUAACUAUCAAUAGCUGUAAGCGUCGUAACGAUUAUCUUAACUUAAAUUAUGCGGACGGAGGAAGGCUUAAAGUCUAACUUUCGGAAGGACUCUCUGAGGAUUGCAGCUUAGAUGUACAACCUGUAAUUAAGUACAGACAAAAUGGCGUUAUCUUUUAACACAUGGAAGUAGAGAGAACUCAAUCACUCAUUCAGAACACCACCAAGCUGGUUGGAGAUUUCUUCUCCUGAGGUUGCUGUUGGAAUCCACAAAGACAAUAUUGAUCCUGUUCUAAAACAUAUCAUCUUAUGUCACGGCGUUGGUUUGCCCAUGCUUCUCCUACUCUUUUCAAUGCAAGGACACCAAGGCCUCAAUUGAGUAGAGGCUUCCAUGUGUGCAUGAUAGAGGACAAUAUUGAAGGAAUAUACGACACUUUGAAGGAGUGUGCUGUUAUUAGUAAAUCUGCUGGAGGAAUUGGAGUUUCUGUACACAACAUCGAUGCCACUAGUCUUAGCUUUGAAGGAUCUUUCUCUGGAUGGAACACUGGCUCCUGAAAUUUGUAAUCUUUUG